GACGAACGCUGGCGGCGUGCUUAACACAUGCAAGUCGAACGGAAAGGCCCUGCUUUUGUGGGGUGCUCGAGUGGCGAACGGGUGAGUAACACGUGAGUAACCUGCCCUUGACUUUGGGAUAACUUCUGGAAACUGGGGCUAAUACCGGAUAGGAGCUCCUGCUGCAUGGUGGGGGUUGGAAAGUUUCGGCGGUGGGGGAUGGACUCGCGGCUUAUCCGCUUGUUGGUGGGGUAGUGGCUUACCAAGGCUUUGACGGGUAGCCGGCCUGAGAGGGGGACCGGCCACAUUGGGACUGAGGUACGGCCCAGACUGCUACGGGAGGCAGCAGUGGGGAAUAUUGCACAAUGGGCGGAAGCCUGAGGCGGCGACGCCGCGUGCGGGAUGACGGCCUUCGGGUUGUAAACCGCUUUCGCCGGUGACGAAGCGUGAGUGACGGUAAUGGGUAAAAAAGCACCGGCUAACUACGUG
RNAcentral lists this ribosomal RNA (468 nucleotides) under uncultured bacterium. RNAcentral's name for it is "partial 16S ribosomal RNA". It matches the Rfam family "Bacterial small subunit ribosomal RNA", at positions 28 to 507 of the family's 1533-position model. The record is from RNAcentral.